This 391-nucleotide unclassified non-coding RNA is filed under the name soil metagenome. RNAcentral's name for it is "partial contains 5.8S ribosomal RNA, internal transcribed spacer 2, and large subunit ribosomal RNA". The stretch from base 1 to 122 matches the Rfam family "5.8S ribosomal RNA", at positions 35 to 154 of the family's 154-position model. The record is from RNAcentral.
GAUGAAGAACGUAGCGAAAUGCGAUACUUGGUGUGAAUUGCAGAAUCCCGUGAACCAUCGAGUCUUUGAACGCAAGUUGCGCCCGAAGCCACUAGGCCGAGGGCACGCCUGCCUGGGCGUCACACGCCGUUGCCCCCCCAUCUACUCCGUCGGGAUUGCGGGGGGGCGGAUGAUGGCCUCCCGUGCGCCUAGCCGCGCGGUUGGCAUAAAUACCAAGUCCUCGGCGACGCACGCCACGACAAUCGGUGGUUGCGAAACCUCGGUUGCCCGUCGUGUGCGUUCGUCGCGCAUCGAGGGCUCGAAAAAAUGCUCGGCUCCGGCUGGGCUUUCAACGCGACCCCAGGUCAGGCGGGGUUACCCGCUGAAUUUAAGCAUAUCAAUAAGCGGAGGA